RNA transcript from Setaria italica (foxtail millet), 1892 nucleotides. It is a transcript of the gene named protein DETOXIFICATION 14, with no coding region annotated. The transcript is spliced from 6 exons. The record is from RefSeq and is a predicted model, not a curated record. Lineage: Eukaryota; Viridiplantae; Streptophyta; Magnoliopsida; Poales; Poaceae.
CGAACACGAGUCCUUGAGAGGAAAGAAAGAGAAACGCGGCGAGUCGACAGCGGCGGCCGCCAUGGAGGACAGAGCGCCGCUUCUGCUGCCGCAGUACACGUUGCGGGAGGAGAAGUGCGGCGGCGCCGGCACCGGCGACGAGAGGUGGCGGAGGGACCUGGCGCGGGAGGCCGGCAAGGUCGGGUACGUGGCGCUGCCGAUGGCGGCCGUGAGCGUGUCGCAGUACGCGGUGCAGGUGGCGUCCAACAUGAUGGUCGGCCACCUCCCCGGCGUCCUCCCGCUCUCCGCCUCCGCCGUCGCCACCUCCCUCGCCUCUGUCUCCGGCUUCAGCCUCCUCAUUGGAAUGGCAAGUGGAUUGGAAACACUAUGCGGCCAAGCCUAUGGCGCAAAACUGUACGACAAAUUGGCAAUGCACACCUAUAGAGCUAUAGUCACACUCGUAUUUGUGAGCAUUCCAAUCUCACUCCUGUGGGUAUUCAUAGGCAAACUCCUCAUCCUCAUAGGUCAAGACCCCUUGAUCUCAAAGGAAGCUGGGAGAUAUAUAGUCUGGUUGAUUCCAGGACUGUUUGCAUAUGCAAUCAGCCAGCCUCUCACAAAAUUUCUGCAGUCUCAGAGUCUGAUAAUUCCUAUGCUUUGGUCCUCCAUUGCAACACUGCUCCUUCACAUUCCUCUUUGCUGGUUAUUGGUGUUCAAGACCAGUUUGGGGUAUAUUGGAGCUUCUUUGGCGAUAAGCUUAUCAUAUUGGUUAAACGUGAUUAUGCUUGCUGCGUACAUCGGAUACUCCAAUUCUUGUAAGGAGACCCGUUCACCUCCUACAAUUGAGGCCUUCAAAGGAGUUGGUGUAUUUCUGCGCCUAGCUCUGCCAUCUGCACUGAUGUUGUGCUUUGAAUGGUGGUCCUUUGAGAUCCUGAUUCUUCUCUCAGGAAUUUUACCGAAUCCGGAGUUGCAAACUUCAGUUCUUUCAAUCUGCCUGACGACUAUCACGUUAAUGUAUACUAUACCUUAUGGGUUUGGAGCGGCUGCAAGCACUAGGGUAGCAAAUGAAUUAGGUGGUGGUAACCCUGAAGGAGCUCGAUCAGCUGUUCGGGUUGUCAUGUGUAUUGCAGUGAUGGAGGCGGCUAUCGUCACAAUUAUAUUGUUGGCAUCACAGCACAUCUUAGGCUAUGCAUAUAGCAGUGAUAAGGAGGUUGUUGCCUAUGUCAACGCAAUGGUUCCCUUUGUGUGCGUCUCUGUUGCUGCCGACAGCCUGCAAGGAGUUCUAUCAGGUCACAUCUCUAAACUUUCUUAAGCUGGUUGGUCUGCCUUUUACAUUCAAAAGAGUGAAGAAAAGAAUAUUUUCCUGGUUUUAAAAACUCGAAAACACAUCUUUCAAACUAUAUACCUGUAAAGUUAUCAAACAAACUUGCUUUCCGUCUUUACACCAAACUACAACGCCUUUUGCCCCUUAAUUUGAUUUCUAUAAUUCAAUUUGUGUGCUCUUCUCAAUUUUGGUAAGAAGCCCUAUCAGGUGGCAAGUGACCAUUACUGUUUUAUCAGUCAUGCCAAUGUCAUACCAGGUAAUGCAGCUUCUGUUCUUAGUUUCUUCCACGGUACUAAUGCUAUUUCUGUGUUGUGGAAGCAAAAUUUUGUUACUGGGGGAGUUACUUGUUUAUUCCUUCGAAAAUGGGCUCUUACGUGAACAUGGAUGCCGGUGUUUUCAUCAACACGCAUCUAGCAGAGAUGUUACCGUAAUCAGGCUCCAAAUCACUAUGUAUUGCCAGAGGAUGCGGGUGGCAGCACUUAGGUGCCUAUGUUAACCUGGGCUCGUUCUAUCUCGUUGGGAUUCCAACGGCGCUCUUGCUCGGCUUUGUUCUGAAGAUGGAAGGGAAAGGGCUUUGGAUGGGCAUUUCCUG